This 375-nucleotide ribosomal RNA is filed under the name Goniobranchus sp. WAM S71074. Its description in RNAcentral is "partial large subunit ribosomal RNA". It matches the Rfam family "Bacterial large subunit ribosomal RNA", at positions 1919 to 2564 of the family's 2925-position model. Lineage: Eukaryota; Metazoa; Mollusca; Gastropoda; Nudibranchia; Chromodorididae. The record is from RNAcentral.
AGUUAUUAAUGGCCGCGGUACUUUGACCGUGCUAAGGUAGCGCAAUCAAUUGGCUCUUAAAUGGGGUCAGGAAUGAAUGGAGUUUAACGUGGUUAAGCUGUCUCUUAACUAAUUAAUUGAAGUUACUAUGUAGGUGAAAAAGCCUAUUGUAAGAAAAAGGACGAGAAGACCCUUAGAGUUUUACUUAAUGUGAGAGAUACUAAAGUAUUCAUACUGGUUUUGUUGGGGCAACAUAGGAGCAAUAACUAUAAUCUCCUAAAUUAUAACACACCGAAAUUUAUAAAUCUGAAUAAACUACCUUAGGGAUAACAGCAUAAUUUAAAAAAUAAGUUUGUGACCUCGAUGUUGGACUAGGAAACUUAAAGGCUAGCCGUC